RNA transcript from Leopardus geoffroyi (Geoffroy's cat), 2605 nucleotides. It is a transcript of the gene named SAP domain containing ribonucleoprotein, with no coding region annotated. The transcript is spliced from 12 exons. NCBI's taxonomy places the organism in Eukaryota, Metazoa, Chordata, Mammalia, Carnivora, Felidae. The record is from RefSeq and is a predicted model, not a curated record.
GGAAGAGCGAGAGCGACGUCAGCUGUUGACUAAUGGGAAGAGCUGAUAGUGUGAGGUGGGAGUAAGAGUGGCAGCGAUUGGUCGGCCUUGGUUGCCUGCGCCUAGGCGGGAGCUCCUGGAAGCCGAGGCUGCGGGUGGGGGCCUAGUGGACUGGAGGGGUAACAAGAUGGCGUCGGAGACGGUGGAGCUCCAUAAGCUGAAGCUUGCUGAACUAAAGCAGGAAUGUCUUGCUCGUGGUUUGGAGACCAAGGGAAUAAAACAAGAUCUCAUCAACAGGCUCCAGGCAUAUCUUGAAGAGCAUGCUGAAGAGGAGGCAAAUGAAGAAGAUGUACUGGGAGAUGAAACAGAGGAAGAAGAACCAAAGCCCAUAGAACUGCCUAUCAAAGAGGAAGAACCCCCUGAGAAAACUGUUGAUAUGACAACAGAGAAGAAAGUGGUAAAAAUUACAUCUGAGAUACCACAGACUGAGAGAAUGCAGAAGAGAGCUGAGCGAUUCAAUGUACCUGUGAGCUUAGAGAGUAAAAAAGCUGCUCGGGCAGCAAGAUUUGGGAUUUCUUCAGUUCCAUCAAAAGGCCUGUCUUCUGAUGCCAAGCCUAUGGUUAACCUUGAUAAACUAAAGGAAAGAGCUCAAAGAUUUGGUUUGAAUGUCUCUUCAAUCUCCAGAAAGUCUGAAGAUGAUGAGAAACUGAAAAAGAGGAAGGAGCGAUUUGGGAUUGUCACAAGUUCGGCUGGAACAGGAACCACAGAGGAUACAGAGGCAAAGAAGAGGAAAAGGGCAGAGCGCUUUGGGAUUGCCUGAUGAAAAGCUCUUAAUGCUUUCUGUUCUCCAGUGGUUUCCAUCUCUCUGACUUUUCUUGGUCAUAUAUAUAAAUGCACAGUCAUGUGCCUAGGUCCUGCCUCACAGUGAGAGAGCAUGUACCCCGGGUACAUCCAGGAACUUCAGCAGCAAUUUGACUCAUUGCUGUUCCAACUUUAAGGUUCAAGUGCUGGAUUGUGUCAUGUGACCAUCCCAAAACUCAGAGCACCCUAUGGCCAUCCUUGCCCUCUGUCACAUAACUUGAAAACUGCCAGAUGGCCUUUUUGCAAUGGUUCCCUCCAGGAAGCCUUGAUCUCAGUGAAGAAGUCCUUUCCCGGCAUUCCAGUGCCCCUGUCAUCCCCAUACUCCUCAGUCACCCUUAACAAACAAAGGCAAUCACACACAUGGUGUAACAAAUACACAAAGUAAAUAAUAAUUACACUACUUAUGAUCAGAGGGGCACUGGCCAGGUCCACACACAACAUAAAGUGGGAGAGGGGGUGCUAGUUCCCACUAGGUUGCUGGACUGUGCCUCCAAGCCUCUUUAACCCCAUGCCUCUUUGGGGGUGAGGGGGACCAAGGAAAUGAGAUUUCAACUCUUAGAUUUAUGUUCAAAAGAAAAAGACCCUCCCCCAACAAAGGUCAUUAUUUGGCGGUGUUAAAGUGGCAUAGUCUAAGUGUCCCCCAAGUCUAAUGCUCCAGCUCUCUAGAAUUUAUAGAGGGAAGUCACCUGAUGUCUAUUGCCCAACCCCCACCCUGUGCCAAGAUCAGGAGACCGGAGCAUUUGAUCUUGGAGGAGGCAUCUUCUGUUCUUCACUUCUCUGUUCCUCUCCUUCAACCAAGGAAAUGUGAAUGGUGUUGUCAGGUGUAUCUUGUUCUCCAAGAUUGGGGUAGAAGGAAGAAUGAAGAACAGGGCCAGAGAGGAGAGGCUGGGGGUUAGCAUAGCUGUUAUAUGGGAGGCGAGUUGAAAUACUUAACAGCCCUUGCCCAUUCCUGUACCAAAACACCUCAUCUCAUUUUUUCACUAUGGGAAUGGGAAGAAGAUACUAAAGCUCACCAACAUCACCUUCCCAAGGGUGGUCACAUACCUUUGCCCCUUCUACCUGGGCCAGUCAGGAGAGUCAUACUCGGGAAGAACAGGCCUGCCAGGUCAUCUCUCCAGGCUGGGCUUUAGUCCAGUACUGUUUGCAUCAGACCCAUAACUGCUGGCUCUGCUUAGAGUGACAGUUUUGCUGAAGGUUCUUUAUCUCCUCUCCUGACAUCCUCUAGGCUCUUGCCUGGAGCCAAGAGGUCUGUGGUGAGGUAUGGAUAGGGUGUGGAUCAGGAGAAUCUCAACUCCUUGGCUUCAGGCACACUGUCCAGCUGGGAGGCAGAGGGGAACUUGUACUCUGAAGCCUGUGACUCCUCUAAGCCUCACAUCUCUUCACCACUACUCUGGUGCCCUGGUUAUCUGUCCCACAGCGAGAGGUAUUUUAUGUCCAUAAAGUGCCCGUGGUAAGUGCUCAGAAUUCAUCUCUUGGCUGUGGCGGGUGCUGCUAUUUCUCAUUCCAUCGAGGGGAAGAAACUGAGGCACAGUGAGUCCAGAGGAUGGUGGGUCAGGAUUAUGGGAGGAAUGAAUAGGCCCAGCUAGUGACUUGGAGUGGCAACAAGUCCCUGCCUGUUUCCUAGCCUUCCAAACCAGGGAGUCUCCAUCCUUCUAAUCCUCUGCUCUAACUGGCCUUGUCAGAUGCUUUUUCCUUCCCCAUUGUAUUGUCCCCUCCCUGCUGCCAGGUACUGCUAGAUUCCAAAAAUAAAAGAUAAAAAUAAUUA